This 412-nucleotide small RNA is filed under the name Arabidopsis thaliana (thale cress). RNAcentral's name for it is "ATSL079830". The record is from RNAcentral. Lineage: Eukaryota; Viridiplantae; Streptophyta; Magnoliopsida; Brassicales; Brassicaceae.
AAAAGAAAAAGAAAAAGAAAGUUAAAAAAAUAAACAUUGGGGAAAGAAAAAUAUUCGUUUAGGUUGAGGCAUGGCGAUAUGAAGACGAUUUGACCGGGAGGCUUGUGAUUGGUGGAUUUUUUUCCUACUGUCCGAUUUCUUUCUUCCUGUAGGUAUGUCUAUUUCGUUCGUGUUGGUCCACCGGAUUCCCAGAAACAAGAGUAGCUAUCAAACUGUCAUGAUGAUGCUAAAUGUGGGGAAAUAUUUCCAAUUUAGUGGAGCAAAAGUCAAUAUUAAAAUGCUAACAAGAGAAACAGUGAGAAGCAAGAUUUUGAUUCACAUGAGGCUACCAAGAGACCAUGGUACAAAUAGUCAUAGUCUUGGCUGAAAAAGUAUCUAUAUAUACAUUUUUAAUAAAGUUUUUGGUUGAAAA